AAGGCAAGAACCAAGCAGACAGCCAGGGAAACUUGCCCAAUGAACCCAACAAGGAUCUCUCAUUUUCAUGAGACAAAAUCCCAAUAAUGGAUUAGCAAGGCAAGUCAUCCUUGGCUACCAGACAUGAUUCUUAGCC
Molecule: microRNA precursor, 136 nt
Organism: Lupinus angustifolius (narrow-leaved blue lupine)
Lineage: Eukaryota; Viridiplantae; Streptophyta; Magnoliopsida; Fabales; Fabaceae
Source: Rfam